AUUGAAAGCUGGCGGCAGGCCUAACACAUGCAAGUCGAGCGAGCGGCGGACGGGUGAGUAAUGUAUGGGGACUGCCCGAUAGAGGGGGCUAACUACUGGAAACGGUGGCUAAUACCGCAUACUAUCGGAUAACCCAUAUGGGAUUAGCUAGUAGGUGGGGUAAAGGCUCACCUAGGCGACGAUCUCUAGCUGGUCGGAGAGGAUGCUCAGCCACACUGGGACGUAGACACGGCCCAGACUCGUACGGCGUGAGCAGUGGGGAAUAUUGCACAAUGGGCGCAAGACUUAUGCAGCCAUGCCGCGUGUAUGAAGAAGGCCUUAGGGUUGGAAAGUACUUUCAGCGGGGAGGCGUUACCCGCAGAAGAAGCACCGGCUAACUCCGCGUCAGCAGCCGCGGUAAUAC
Molecule: ribosomal RNA, 403 nt
Filed under: uncultured bacterium
Lineage: Bacteria
Description: partial 16S ribosomal RNA
Rfam family: Bacterial small subunit ribosomal RNA
Source: RNAcentral